Molecule: long non-coding RNA, 1789 nt
Organism: Macaca fascicularis (crab-eating macaque)
Lineage: Eukaryota; Metazoa; Chordata; Mammalia; Primates; Cercopithecidae
Source: Ensembl
UUUUUUCUUUUGGUUUCUCUUCUCGCUUCAUUUCAUUCAUUUGAUCCUCAAUCGCUGAUAUUCUUUCUUCCAGUUGAUCGAGUCGGUUACUGAAGCUUGUGCAUUUGUCACGUAUUUCUCGUGUCAUGGUUUUCAUCUCUUUCAUUUCGUUUAUGACCUUCUCUGCAUUAAUUACUCUAGCCAUCAAUUCUUCCACUUUUUUUUCAAGAUUUUUAGUUUCUUUGUGCUGGUACGUAAUUCCUCCUUUAGCUCUGAGAAAUUUGAUGGACUGAAGCCUUCUUCUCUCAUCUCGUCAAAGUCAUUCUCCUUCCAGCUUUGAUCCAUUGCUGGCGAUGAGCUGCUCCUUUGCCGGGGAGAUGCUCUUAUUUUUGAAUUUCCAGCUUUUCUGCCCUGCUUUUUCCCCAUCUUUGUGGUUUUAUCUGCCUCUGGUCUUUGAUGAUGGUGAUGUACUGAUGGGGUUUUGGUGUAGGUGUCCUUCCUGUUUGAUAGUUUUCCUUCUAACAGUCAGGACCCUCAGCUGUAGGUCUGUUGGAGAUUGCUUGAGGUCCACUCCAGACCCUGUUUGCCUGGGUAUCAGCAGCAGAGGCUGCAGAAGAUAGAAUAUUGCUGAACAGCGAGUGUACCUGUCUGAUUCUUGCUUUGGAAGCUUCCUCUCAGGGGCAUACUCCUCUCUGUGAGGUGUGGGGUGUCAGACUGCCCCUAGUGGGGGAUGUCUCCCAGUUAGGCUACUCAGGGGUCAGGGACCCACUUGAGCAGGGAGUCUGUCCCUUCUCAGAUCUCAACCUCCGUGUUGGGAGAUCCACUGCUCUCUUCAAAGCUGUCAGAGUCGUUUGCGUCUGCAGAGGUGUCUGCUGCGUUUGUUUAGUUUACUGUGCCCUGUCCCCAGAGGUGGAGUCUACAGAGACAGGCAGGUUUCCUUGAGCUGCUGUGAGCUCCACCCAGUUCGAGCUUCCCAGCAGCUUUGUUUACCUACUUAAGCCUCAGCAAUGGCGGGCGCCUCUCCCCCAGCCUCGCUGCUGCCUUGCCGGUAGAUCACAGACUGCUGUGCUAGCAAUGAGGGAGGCUCCGUGGCUGUGGGACCCUCCCGGCCAGGUGUGGGAUAUGAUCUCCUGGUGUGCCUGUUUGCUUAAGGCGCAGUAUUGGGGUGGGAGUUACCGGAUUUUCCAGGUGUUGUGUGUCUCAGUUCCCCUGGCUAGGAAAAGGGACUCCCUUCCCCCUUGCGCUUCCCAGGUGAGGCAAUGCCUCAUCCUGCUUCAGCUCUCGCUGGUUGGGCUGCAGCAGCUGACCAGCACCGACCAUCCGGCACUCCCCAGUGAGAUGAACCCAGUACCUCAGUUGAAAAUGCAGAAAUCACCGGUCUUCUGUGUGGCUCUCGCUGGGAGUUGGAGACUGGAGCUGCUCCUAUUCGGCCAUCUUGCUCCGCCCCCCCGGGAAAUGUUUUUAACACUUCAGGUUUACCAUAAUACAUUUUCAUGAGUAAAAGAGAUACUGAGGCUCUUUUUUCAAAUUCUUUUUUUUAUUAUCAUUAUACUUUCAGUUCUAGGGUACAUGUGCACAACGUGCAGGUGUGUUACAUAUGUAUACUUGUUCCAUGUUGCUGUGCUGCACCCAUCAACUCGUCAGCACCCAUCACCUCGUCAUUUACAUCAGGUAUAACUCCCAAUGCCAUCCCUCGCCCCCUCCACUCCCCAUAAUAGGCCCCGGUGUGCGAUGUUCCCCUUCCAGAGUCCAAGUGAUCUCACUGUUCAAUUCCCACCUAUGAGUGAGAACAUGUGGUGUUUGGUUUUCU